UUCAGUGUCUCUCUCUCAAUUUCAAAGAGAAUCGCUUCCAUAGUCACCACUCACCUCCUCUGUUAGCCCCUGCCGAGAAGGUCAUCUCCCUCAAAGACAAAGGGCUUCAUCUUGGUAUCUAACUAAAAGUUCAGGUGAUCAAUACCAAUAAAGAACCAAUUCUAGUUUUUCAAUUUCUAGUAUUUAUUCCUCUUUUGCAUAAAGAUUUAAUCCCAAUAAAUUUCCUUUACCGCUAUGUGUUUUCUUCUCUUUGUUGUAGUUCAAUUUAAAAGAACAUUGCUUCAUAGUCGUCUCCUCCAGUAGCCAUAAGCCACUGCCGCUUCUCGAAUCUCGUUGGGUCGCCUCUCUCCGUCUCUCGCCGUCAGCCCGUCAAUUGUCACUAUCAGGUUUCUCACUUGCUUAUAUUGUAGAUUUUUGUAAUUUAUGCUUUGAAAAAAAAUUCAGAUUGUUUUAAUAGGUUUUGACUGAGAAACUCAAUUUCAAUUUGAGAUAUACCGUGUUAAAUAUUUUUUUUAAUAUAAUUUUUAAUCUUAAUGAAAAAUGGGGAAAGGUGAGAAAUUGAGAGUAAUAAACUUGCUUAUAUUGAGAAGUUAAGUACCUUUUUCUCUUUAGUUAUGGAAAAUCUCAGAUUGUUGUUGUUGGUUUUGAGUGAGAAAUUCUUUUUCAGUUUGAAUAUACGUAUACGUACACAUAAUUUUUUUUUGGGUGUGUAUACUUUUGAUAUGGUCAUAUGAAAUGGAAAUCAGUAAUGUUUCCUUGAUGCAAUCAAGAACAUUUUCCUUGGCUCGUUAUUGAAUCAACAAAUUUCCCUUUAUAAAAUAAUAUUUAGCAUGCAAUAGUAUUUUCUAGGACUGAAGUUCCAAAAUCUAGGAAGAUCACCUUUGCUGUUAUCCAUGAAUGAAAGUUUCAUUGCAAUAGUUAUGUAAUCUAAUGAGUGAUCGUUACUUGGGUUGUCUUCGACCACGUUAUUUCUUCUAGUUUAAAUUUAAGGUUAAACAUAUACAAAAUUAUUCUUCUAAUUCUAAUUCUAAUUCUAAUUUGGUAAUCUAGUUUGUGUUACAAUGAAGAGAUUUUACCCUCCAGUACCUUCCAAGUUGCCAUAACCAAGUUUAUCAUCUCCAAUUGCUACUCCCGUGGAACAAAAUUUGAACCGAUUAGAAGAGCAACCUCAAUCCUCUAAAAGACAAAGACAAGGAAUAAAUCUUGAUUCUUUACCGGCCGA
Molecule: long non-coding RNA, 1222 nt
Filed under: Nicotiana tabacum (common tobacco)
Lineage: Eukaryota; Viridiplantae; Streptophyta; Magnoliopsida; Solanales; Solanaceae
Description: long non-coding RNA (NTAB_LNC008740)
Source: RNAcentral